Molecule: long non-coding RNA, 2366 nt
Filed under: Manacus vitellinus (golden-collared manakin)
Lineage: Eukaryota; Metazoa; Chordata; Aves; Passeriformes; Pipridae
Description: lncRNA (ENSMVIG00005004576.1)
Source: RNAcentral
AUUUCAUUAAAGGCAUGAAGAUAAAGCAUAAACAAAACAGAAUCUACUUUAUAACAUAUCAGUUCAUUUUGCUGCAAUAUUUGCAGAAAGAACAUAUGGAAAUGCCCUUCCACACUGCUUGAAACCUAAUUUUGGACAACACCAGAGUGAGACAAAAUGAGAGCUGUUGCCAGUUCUGGAGUUGGUUUCAGAGCGAUUGACCACCAAAGUCUUUGUUUAAUUUCAGCAGACUUGUGUUCAGCAGCUCUGAAAAUUGGGCCUGAAAUGAUAGAGACGAUUUUGGACCAGGGUCACAUCCCUUUCAGUUCCACCCACCAGUUCCAUUUCCCACACAAACGCCAGGAGGGGAAGGAAGGAUUGAUUUGGAAGCUUCUAAUUGACUUCAGCAGAACCCGGCCUGGAGCCACUGUAAUGUUCCUGAACAGCAGUUCUGGAGCAUGAACAGUGCCCAGUUUGGGUGGGGUGGCCGGGCCAUGACAAGCCCCAGGGCUGUGGGACGGGGUGGAGGUGCAGUGCCAGGGCCAGAGGGCAGUUGGGCCAGGCCCAGGGCUCUGCAACCGCCCUUGGAUGUGGCAUCUGAACCUGGCAACUGCCAAAACGGCUGAUGGAGACCCGGCAGGUGAGUGGGAAAGGUGCAGCUCUCCCUGUGCCAUGCCCAGAGGGGGUCUGGGUGGCAUUGGGCUGUCCCACGGGGAGCGGUUCCCUUUGGGAACAACAAGGUAUUCCCAGUUUGCUGUUCCUGAGCUGGUGGCAGCUUUGGUGCUGGGAGUGGGGACAGAGCUGGGAGGGAAUGGAGGGCACCUUCAUGCUGGUGGUGGGCAGCUCUUCAUUUCAUCACAAUGCUGGCUGGAGCGAGUGUUGGUGGGAUCACCAACUCUGGCAAUGGAAUCCCCAGAAUGCUGUUUGCCCCAAACAGUCGCCUUGGUGACAGAACCCCCAGAAUGCUGCCUACCCCAAACAAACCCCAAACUGGCCAAGCACCAUGGCAGGUACAGCAGCAGGCCCCCAUUCCUCCAGGGAGUCCUGCCCUCCAGUUAUCCCCAACUAGCUACGCCCCCCAAUAUCUCACCUCAUCACCCCUUUCUGCUUCCCCCAACAGAGAGGUUCCCUCUCCAGGUGACAGUGUUGAAGGUGGCCAGCGUGAGCUUCGCUGCCCUCGCCAGGCCAGCCCUGGGAGCUCCCUGGGAGCUGCCCUCUGUCCCAGGGCUGCCACUGUACUCUGGCCCUGUCCAGCUCCAAACCAGCACCCACCAGUUGGUCCCAGCCACCGUCAGGCAGGAGGUCCCAGGGCCUCUGGGGGCCCCGGGGCAGGUGUUAUCACUUUCCCCUGUGGUGCAGCUUCCCUGGCCAGUGCAGCUGCCUCCCUGUCCUUCUGCCUAUGGCUGGGGACAGCAGCUGGUGACGGGGGCACUUCUGCCCCACCAGCCAAGGGCUGUGUUCCAUGGAGAGCCCCUGUACCCCACGGGCUCUGGUGUGUUGUGUGUCCACCACCGACCUGCCCUGGCAGGCAGAACCACGAUGGAGCCCGAAGUGGUUACCACCCCUGGUCCAAGGAAGCCCACGGAUCUGCCUGAGGAGGGACCAGCCACCAGCACAGAGGCCAUUCCUGAGCAGGCAGAGGACAUCACCCACCACCACCUGCUCACCCAGCCUGAAACCCCAGUGGGUGAGGACACCAUUGUCAAUGCCCCCAACAGCCCCACCUUGAGUGACCUCCUGGACGACCUCUUUGAGUACCUGGCGGACAGUGGCUGCCCUGAGGAACAAGUGGAGGUGGCUCAAGAGGACAGCGAGGACACCGCCUUGGCCGCCAACGCCCCCAGCCUGACCGCCGAGGACCUCGAUGAGCUCCUCGAGUUCUGUGAAUGCCUGCUGGAAGAUGACUGUCCCAAGAAGCCAGCAAUGGAGGCACAGCAAAGGAACAGCGAGGAUGCCGUACCCACCACCCCCAACUUGACCCCCUCCCUCAGCCCACCCAGUGACCCCCGGCCUCCCUUGCCCCGCGUGGCCCAGCUGGGGGAGGAGGCAAUGCAGAAGCAGCCCCAGGUUGUUAAGAACCACUUGCAGCUGCCACCAGGCAUCGCCACCAUCCAGGCAGACCCCAAAACGAGAGAGGUGGCAGCAGCCAGGCCCCGUGCUCGGCGCCAGCCAGCCCCUCCACGGAACAAGGGACCUCCCCGCAGGGCCACAUCCCGGCCCAGGAAGAGGCGACGACAGCGGUGACGCAGCACCCAGACCAGAAGACACCCUGAGCCAGUGACCUGCAGCCAGGCCCUCAGCCCCAACCUCUCCCCCAUUCUUCUUUAGUUCAUUAAAGAGUGGUUUUGCAGUUCCCUUCUCUGUCUUGGGUUGUUUGGGCAGUGGGA